CCCUUAGAUGUCCUGGGCCGCACGCGCGUUACACUGAUGCAUUCAACGAGCUUAUAACCUUGGCCGAGAGGCCUGGGCAAUCUUGUUAACGUGCAUCGUGAUAGGGAUAGAUUAUUGAAAUUAUUAAUCUUGAACGAGGAAUUCCUGGUAAACGCAGAUCAUCAAUCUGCAUUGAUUACGUCCCUGCCCUUUGUACACACCGCCCGUCGCACCUACCGAUUGGAUGGUCCGGUGAAGCCUCGGGAUUGUGGUUCUUGCCGCUUUAUUGUGGCGUGACCGCGAGAACUUGUCUAAACCUUAUCAUCUAGAGGAAGGUGAAGUCGUAACA
RNAcentral lists this ribosomal RNA (328 nucleotides) under uncultured eukaryote. RNAcentral describes it as "partial 18S ribosomal RNA". It matches the Rfam family "Eukaryotic small subunit ribosomal RNA", at positions 1470 to 1796 of the family's 1831-position model. The record is from RNAcentral.